ACUCUAAGCGGUGGAUCACUCGGCUCAUGGGUCGAUGAAGAACGCAGCAAACUGUGCGUCAUCGUGUGAACUGCAGGACACAUGAACAUCGACAUUUUGAACGCAUAUCGCAGUCCAUGCUGUUAUGUACUUUAAUUAAUUUUAUAGUGCUGCUUGGACUACAUAUGGUUGAGGGUUGUAAGACUAUGCUAAUUAAGUUGCUUAUAAAUUUUUAUAAGCAUAUGGUAUAUUAUUGGAUAAAUAUAAUAAUUUUUAUUCAUAAUAUUAAAAAAUAAAUGAAAAACAUUAUCUCACAUUUGAAUGUGAAAAACGAAGAGAAAUAUUUUCUUUUUCAAUCAAAUAAUACUGAGAAAUGUCUAGCAUAAAAAAUUGAAAUAUUUUUCAUCUAGAAUUGUCUCUUAUUAAUGAUUCGGAAAUAGAAAAAUCUUGGUUAUGUUAUUAUUCUUCGUUGGUUCGUUAAAAAUGGAUAAAUAAAAACUUUGCAUACAAGAAUUAAUAAAAAUGUUAUAACGAAUUUAAUUAAAUGUUUUAUCAUUAUAUAUAAAGAAUUUAUGGCAAGAUAAAGUUAUAUACAACCUCAACUCAUAUGGGACUACCCCCUGAAUUUAAGCAUAUUAAUUAGGGGAGGAAAAGAAACUAACAAGGAUUUUCUUAGUAGCGGCGAGCGAAAAGAAAACAGUUCAGCACUAAGUCACUUUGUCUAUAUGGCAAAUGUGAGAUGCAGUGUAUGGAGCGUCAAUAUUCUAGUAUGAGAAAUUAACGAUUUAAGUCCUUCUUAAAUGAGGCCAUUUACCCAUAGAGGGUGCCAGGCCCGUAUAACGUUAAUGAUUACUAGAUGAUGUUUCCAAAGAGUCGUGUUGCUUGAUAGUGCAGCACUAAGUGGGUGGUAAACUCCAUCUAAAACUAAAUAUAACCAUGAGACCGAUAGUAAACAAGUACCGUGAGGGAAAGUUGAAAAGAACUCUGAAUAGAGAGUUAAACAGUACGUGAAACUGCUUAGAGGUUAAGCCCGAUGAACCUGAAUAUCCGUUAUGGAAAAUUCAUCAUUAAAAUUGUAAUAUUUAAAUAAUAUUAUGAGAAUAGUGUGCAUUUUUUCCAUAUAAGGACAUUGUAAUCUAUUAGCAUAUACCAAAUUUAUCAUAAAAUAUAACUUAUAGUUUAUUCCAAUUAAAUUGCUUGCAUUUUAACACAGAAUAAAUGUUAUUAAUUUGAUAAAGUGCUGAUAGAUUUAUAUGAUUACAGUGCGUUAAUUUUUCGGAAUUAUAUAAUGGCAUAAUUAUCAUUGAUUUUUGUGUUUAUUAUAUGCACUUGUAUGAUUAACAAUGCGAAAGAUUCAGGAUACCUUCGGGACCCGUCUUGAAACACGGACCAAGGAGUCUAACAUAUGUGCAAGUUAUUGGGAUAUAAACCUAAUAGCGUAAUUAACUUGACUAAUAAUGGGAUUAGUUUUUUAGCUAUUUAUAGCUAAUUAACACAAUCCCGGGGCGUUCUAUAUAGUUAUGUAUAAUGUAUAUUUAUAUUAUUUAUGCCUCUAACUGGAACGUACCUUGAGCAUAUAUGCUGUGACCCGAAAGAUGGUGAACUAUACUUGAUCAGGUUGAAGUCAGGGGAAACCCUGAUGGAAGACCGAAACAGUUCUGACGUGCAAAUCGAUUGUCAGAAUUGAGUAUAGGGGCGAAAGACCAAUCGAACCAUCUAGUAGCUGGUUCCUUCCGAAGUUUCCCUCAGGAUAGCUGGUGCAUUUUAAUAUUAUAUAAAAUAAUCUUAUCUGGUAAAGCGAAUGAUUAGAGGCCUUAGGGUCGAAACGAUCUUAACCUAUUCUCAAACUUUAAAUGGGUAAGAACCUUAACUUUCUUGAUAUGAAGUUCAAGGUUAUGAUAUAAUGUGCCCAGUGGGCCACUUUUGGUAAGCAGAACUGGCGCUGUGGGAUGAACCAAACGUAAUGUUACGGUGCCCAAAUUAACAACUCAUGCAGAUACCAUGAAAGGCGUUGGUUGCUUAAAACAGCAGGACGGUGAUCAUGGAAGUCGAAAUCCGCUAAGGAGUGUGUAACAACUCACCUGCCGAAGCAACUAGCCCUUAAAAUGGAUGGCGCUUAAGUUGUAUACCUAUACAUUACCGCUAAAGUAGAUGAUUUAUAUUACUUGUGAUAUAAAUUUUGAAACUUUAGUGAGUAGGAAGGUACAAUGGUAUGCGUAGAAGUGUUUGGCGUAAGCCUGCAUGGAGCUGCCAUUGGUACAGAUCUUGGUGGUAGUAGCAAAUAAUCGAAUGAGACCUUGGAGGACUGAAGUGGAGAAGGGUUUCGUGUGAACAGUGGUUGAUCACGAGUUAGUCGGUCCUAAGUUCAAGGCGAAAGCCGAAAAUUUUCAAGUAAAACAAAAAUGCCUAACUAUAUAAACAAAGCGAAUUAUAAUACACUUGAAUAAUUUUGAACGAAAGGGAAUACGGUUCCAAUUCCGUAACCUGUUGAGUAUCCGUUUGUUAUUAAAUAUGGGCCUCGUGCUCAUCCUGGCAACAGGAACGACCAUAAAGAAGCCGUCGAGAGAUAUCGGAAGAGUUUUCUUUUCUGUUUUAUAGCCGUACUACCAUGGAAGUCUUUCGCAGAGAGAUAUGGUAGAUGGGCUAGAAGAGCAUGACAUAUACUGUUGUGUCGAUAUUUUCUCCUCGGACCUUGAAAAUUUAUGGUGG
RNAcentral lists this ribosomal RNA (2688 nucleotides) under Drosophila melanogaster (fruit fly). RNAcentral describes it as "eukaryotic LSU rRNA". The stretch from base 573 to 2688 matches the Rfam family "Eukaryotic large subunit ribosomal RNA", at positions 1 to 1821 of the family's 3401-position model. Lineage: Eukaryota; Metazoa; Arthropoda; Insecta; Diptera; Drosophilidae. The record is from RNAcentral.